Small nuclear RNA from Oncorhynchus tshawytscha (Chinook salmon), 128 nucleotides. Lineage: Eukaryota; Metazoa; Chordata; Actinopteri; Salmoniformes; Salmonidae. The record is from Ensembl.
GUGUUGUAUGAAAGGAGAGAAGGUUAGCACUCCCCUUGACAAGGAUGGAAGAGGCCCUAGUGGUCUUCAACACACAUAUGGUUAAGGCAUUGUCAUUUACUUCGUGGCAUCUUCAACCAAUUUUUUUU